RNAcentral lists this ribosomal RNA (459 nucleotides) under uncultured bacterium. RNAcentral's name for it is "partial 16S ribosomal RNA". It matches the Rfam family "Bacterial small subunit ribosomal RNA", at positions 339 to 795 of the family's 1533-position model. The record is from RNAcentral.
CUACGGGUGGCAGCAGUAAGGAAUAUUGGUCAAUGGACGCAAGUCUGAACCAGCCAUGCCGCGUGAAGGAUUAAGGUCCUCUGGAUUGUAAACUUCUUUUAUUUGGGACGAAAAAGGGUCUUUCUAGAUCAACUGACGGUACCAGAUGAAUAAGCACCGGCUAACUCCGUGCCAGCAGCCGCGGUAAUACGGAGGGUGCAAGCGUUAUCCGGAUUCACUGGGUUUAAAGGGUGCGUAGGCGGGUAGGUAAGUCAGUGGUGAAAUCCUAGAGCUUAACUCUAGAACUGCCAUUGAUACUAUCUAUCUUGAAUAUUGUGGAGGUAAGCGGAAUAUGUCAUGUAGCGGUGAAAUGCUUAGAUAUGACAUAGAACACCUAUUGCGAAGGCAGCUUACUACGCAUAUAUUGACGCUGAGGCACGAAAGCGUGGGGAUCAAACAGGAUUAGAUACCCGAGUAGUC